Molecule: ribosomal RNA, 1480 nt
Filed under: Escherichia coli
Lineage: Bacteria; Pseudomonadati; Pseudomonadota; Gammaproteobacteria; Enterobacterales; Enterobacteriaceae
Description: partial 23S ribosomal RNA
Rfam family: Bacterial large subunit ribosomal RNA
Source: RNAcentral
GGGUUGUGAGGUUAAGCGACUAAGCGUACACGGUGGAUGCCUUGGCAGUCAGAGGCGAUGAAGGACGUGCUAAUCUGCGAUAAGCGUCGGUAAGGUGAUAUGAACCGUUAUAACCGGCGAUUUCCGAAUGGGGAAACCCAGUGUGAUUCGUCACACUAUCAUUAACUGAAUCCAUAGGUUAAUGAGGCGAACCGGGGGAACUGAAACAUCUAAGUACCCCGAGGAAAAGAAAUCAACCGAGAUUCCCCCAGUAGCGGCGAGCGAACGGGGAGCAGCCCAGAGCCUGAAUCAGUAUGUGUGUUAGUGGAAGCGUCUGGAAAGGCGCGCGAUACAGGGUGACAGCCCCGUACACAAAAAUGCACAUGCUGUGAGCUCGAUGAGUAGGGCGGGACACGUGGUAUCCUGUCUGAAUAUGGGGGGACCAUCCUCCAAGGCUAAAUACUCCUGACUGACCGAUAGUGAACCAGUACCGUGAGGGAAAGGCGAAAAGAACCCCGGCGAGGGGAGUGAAAAAGAACCUGAAACCGUGUACGUACAAGCAGUGGGAGCACGCUUAGGCGUGUGACUGCGUACCUUUUGUAUAAUGGGUCAGCGACUUAUAUUCUGUAGCAAGGUUAACCGAAUAGGGGAGCCGAAGGGAAACCGAGUCUUAACUGGGCGUUAAGUUGCAGGGUAUAGACCCGAAACCCGGUGAUCUAGCCAUGGGCAGGUUGAAGGUUGGGUAACACUAACUGGAGGACCGAACCGACUAAUGUUGAAAAAUUAGCGGAUGACUUGUGGCUGGGGGUGAAAGGCCAAUCAAACCGGGAGAUAGCUGGUUCUCCCCGAAAGCUAUUUAGGUAGCGCCUCGUGAAUUCAUCUCCGGGGGUAGAGCACUGUUUCGGCAAGGGGGUCAUCCCGACUUACCAACCCGAUGCAAACUGCGAAUACCGGAGAAUGUUAUCAUGGGAGACACACGGCGGGUGCUAACGUCCGUCGUGAAGAGGGAAACAACCCAGACCGCCAGCUAAGGUCCCAAAGUCAUGGUUAAGUGGGAAACGAUGUGGGAAGGCCCAGACAGCCAGGAUGUUGGCUUAGAAGCAGCCAUCAUUUAAAGAAAGCGUAAUAGCUCACUGGUCGAGUCGGCCUGCGCGGAAGAUGUAACGGGGCUAAACCAUGCACCGAAGCUGCGGCAGCGACGCUGAUGCGUUGUUGGGUAGGGGAGCGUUCUGUAAGCCUGCGAAGGUGUGCUGUGAGGCAUGCUGGAGGUAUCAGAAGUGCGAAUGCUGACAUAAGUAACGAUAAAGCGGGUGAAAAGCCCGCUCGCCGGAAGACCAAGGGUUCCUGUCCAACGUUAAUCGGGGCAGGGUGAGUCGACCCCUAAGGCGAGGCCGAAAGGCGUAGUCGAUGGGAAACAGGUUAAUAUUCCUGUACUUGGUGUUACUGCGAAGGGGGGACGGAGAAGGCUAUGUUGGCCGGGCGACGGUUGUCCCGGUUUAAG